UACGUAGGCAGCGAGCGUUGUUCGGAAUUACUGGGCGUAAAGAGUGUGUAGGCGGUGCUCUAAGUUCGGUGUGAAAUCUCCCGGCUUAACUGGGAGGGUGCGCCGGAAACUGGAGUGCUCGAGCGUGGGAGAGGAGAGCGGAAUUCCUGGUGUAGCGGUGAAAUGCGUAGAUAUCAGGAGGAACACCUGCGGUGUAGACGGCUUUCUGGACCAUUGCUGACGCUGAGACACGAAAGCGUGGGUAGCAAACAGG
Molecule: ribosomal RNA, 253 nt
Filed under: uncultured bacterium
Lineage: Bacteria
Description: partial 16S ribosomal RNA
Rfam family: Bacterial small subunit ribosomal RNA
Source: RNAcentral